RNAcentral lists this ribosomal RNA (919 nucleotides) under Curtobacterium sp. RNAcentral's name for it is "bacterial SSU rRNA". It matches the Rfam family "Bacterial small subunit ribosomal RNA", at positions 67 to 987 of the family's 1533-position model. Lineage: Bacteria; Bacillati; Actinomycetota; Actinomycetes; Micrococcales; Microbacteriaceae. The record is from RNAcentral.
CGAUGAUCAGGAGCUUGCUCCUGUGAUUAGUGGCGAACGGGUGAGUAACACGUGAGUAACCUGCCCCUGACUCUGGGAUAAGCGUUGGAAACGACGUCUAAUACUGGAUAUGAUCACUGGUCGCAUGGCCUGGUGGUGGAAAGAUUUUUUGGUUGGGGAUGGACUCGCGGCCUAUCAGCUUGUUGGUGAGGUAAUGGCUCACCAAGGCGACGACGGGUAGCCGGCCUGAGAGGGUGACCGGCCACACUGGGACUGAGACACGGCCCAGACUCCUACGGGAGGCAGCAGUGGGGAAUAUUGCACAAUGGGCGAAAGCCUGAUGCAGCAACGCCGCGUGAGGGAUGACGGCCUUCGGGUUGUAAACCUCUUUUAGUAGGGAAGAAGGGAGCUUCGGUUCUUGACGGUACCUGCAGAAAAAGCACCGGCUAACUACGUGCCAGCAGCCGCGGUAAUACGUAGGGUGCAAGCGUUGUCCGGAAUUAUUGGGCGUAAAGAGCUCGUAGGCGGUUUGUCGCGUCUGCUGUGAAAUCCCGAGGCUCAACCUCGGGCUUGCAGUGGGUACGGGCAGACUAGAGUGCGGUAGGGGAGAUUGGAAUUCCUGGUGUAGCGGUGGAAUGCGCAGAUAUCAGGAGGAACACCGAUGGCGAAGGCAGAUCUCUGGGCCGUAACUGACGCUGAGGAGCGAAAGCAUGGGGAGCGAACAGGAUUAGAUACCCUGGUAGUCCAUGCCGUAAACGUUGGGCGCUAGAUGUAGGGACCUUUCCACGGUUUCUGUGUCGUAGCUAACGCAUUAAGCGCCCCGCCUGGGGGAGUACGGCCGCAAGGCUAAAACUCAAAGGAAUUGACGGGGGCCCGCACAAGCGGCGGAGCAUGCGGAUUAAUUCGAUGCAACGCGAAGAACCUUACCAAGGCUUGACAU